Molecule: ribosomal RNA, 254 nt
Filed under: uncultured bacterium
Lineage: Bacteria
Description: partial 16S ribosomal RNA
Rfam family: Bacterial small subunit ribosomal RNA
Source: RNAcentral
GACAUAGGUGGCAAACGUUAUCCGGAAUUACUGGGCGUAAAGCGUGCGCAGGCGGUUGUGCAAGACAGAUGUGAAAUCCCCGGGCUCAACCUGGGAAUUGCAUUUGUGACUGCACGGCUAGAGUGUGUCAGAGGGGGGUAGAAUUCCACGUGUAGCAGUGAAAUGCGUAGAGAUGUGGAGGAAUACCGAUGGCGAAGGCAGCCCCCUGGGAUAACACUGACGCCUCAUGCACGAAAGCGUGGGGAGCAAACAGG